GAUGAACGCUGGCGGCGUGCCUAAUACAUGCAAGUCGAGCGAACAGACGAGGAGCUUGCUCCUCUGACGUUAGCGGCGGACGGGUGAGUAACACGUGGAUAACCUACCUAUAAGACUGGGAUAACUUCGGGAAACCGGAGCUAAUACCGGAUAAUAUAUUGAACCGCAUGGUUCAAUAGUGAAAGACGGUUUUGCUGUCACUUAUAGAUGGAUCCGCGCCGCAUUAGCUAGUUGGUAAGGUAACGGCUUACCAAGGCAACGAUGCGUAGCCGACCUGAGAGGGUGAUCGGCCACACUGGAACUGAGACACGGUCCAGACUCCUACGGGAGGCAGCAGUAGGGAAUCUUCCGCAAUGGGCGAAAGCUUGACGGAGCAACGCCGCGUGAGUGAUGAAGGUCUUCGGAUCGUAAAAAUCUGUUAUUAGGGAAGAACAAAUGUGGAAGUAACUAUGCACGGCUUGACGGUAACUAAUAAGAAAGCCACGGCUAACUACGUG
RNAcentral lists this ribosomal RNA (497 nucleotides) under uncultured bacterium. RNAcentral's name for it is "partial 16S ribosomal RNA". It matches the Rfam family "Bacterial small subunit ribosomal RNA", at positions 28 to 507 of the family's 1533-position model. The record is from RNAcentral.